Molecule: long non-coding RNA, 703 nt
Filed under: Homo sapiens (human)
Lineage: Eukaryota; Metazoa; Chordata; Mammalia; Primates; Hominidae
Description: HSALNT0309156
Source: RNAcentral
CUGCUGGCAGAACAGAGAAAGAGAGAGAGCAGGAGAGAGAGAGACAGACAGAAUCCACUAGUAGAAUAAGCCAUGAUCACCACUCAAAACUUCUUUAAUUUUUGCAUCUGGCAAGAGUUUCUGCAAAUUCCCUGUGGUAAAGAUGGCAGGCUGCCCUGGAGAUCUUCUCUUCCUUGUGGGUUGGCUGUGGCUCGGAAGUGGCGGCUUCCUGGAGCCUGUGUGUCCAUUCCCAACUUCCUUGCAUCUAGAGCCUGUUUACUAGCAUGUCACUGCCUAUCACACAAUAAGGCUGGUGAAAUUCUAUUGAAAUAAUCCAUGUAAAAUGCUCAGUGGAGUGCACGAUACAAGUCAAUUCACUUCAGAAAGUAUCUACCCCCGUGUCCCCAGCAGCACAUUUCAUCCACACCACGAAGCGAACAGAAAGAGACCUAAAGCUUGGUCUAUGUGCUUCUGCCACUCACGUCUGAGCCAUAGAAAAAUGUUACAACUUUACAAAGUGACUGUGAAUUUAAGUUAAACCCUCUGACAACAAAUUGGAGGACACACAAGCCUAAAAGAUGAACGAUACGGUGUUUAUACUUCUCCCUAGGAAGAGCCAUAGGCCUUGGGCCCCAUCAAGGGUCUCUCCUGGAGUUUCAGUCAAGAAGUCAGCUUGACUGGCUCUGGAAUAUUGGCUUCCACACUGGCUCCUUGCAUGGCUGGC